This 253-nucleotide ribosomal RNA is filed under the name uncultured bacterium. Its description in RNAcentral is "partial 16S ribosomal RNA". It matches the Rfam family "Bacterial small subunit ribosomal RNA", at positions 524 to 776 of the family's 1533-position model. The record is from RNAcentral.
UACGGAGGAUCCAAGCGUUAUCCGGAUUUAUUGGGUUUAAAGGGUGCGUAGGCGGCCUAUUAAGUCAGGGGUGAAAGACGGUAGCUUAACUAUCGCAGUGCCUUUGAUACUGAUGGGCUUGAAUGAAUUAGAGGUAGGCGGAAUGUGACAAGUAGCGGUGAAAUGCAUAGAUAUGUCACAGAACACCAAUUGCGAAGGCAGCUUACUAUGGUUUUAUUGACGCUGAGGCACGAAAGCGUGGGGAUCAAACAGG